CCUACGGGAGGCAGCAGUGAGGAAUAUUGGUCAAUGGACGAGAGUCUGAACCAGCCAAGUAGCGUGAAGGAUGACUGCCCUAUGGGUUGUAAACUUCUUUUAUAUGGGAAUAAAAUGUUCCACGUGUGGGAUUUUGUAUGUACCAUAUGAAUAAGGAUCGGCUAACUCCGUGCCAGCAGCCGCGGUAAUACGGAGGAGCCGAGCGUUAUCCGGAUUUAUUGGGUUUAAAGGGAGCGUAGGUGGAUUGUUAAGUCAGGUGUGAAAGUUUGCGGCUCAACCGUAAAAUUGCAGUUGAAACUGGCAGUCUUGAGUACAGUAGAGGUGGGCGGAAUUCGUGGUGUAGCGGUGAAAUGCUUAGAUAUCACGAAGAACUCCGAUUGCGAAGGCAGUUCACUGGACUGCAACUGACACUGAGGCUCGAAAGUGUGGGUAUCAAACAGGAUUAGAUACCCGGGUAGUC
This 460-nucleotide ribosomal RNA is filed under the name uncultured bacterium. RNAcentral's name for it is "partial 16S ribosomal RNA". It matches the Rfam family "Bacterial small subunit ribosomal RNA", at positions 338 to 795 of the family's 1533-position model. The record is from RNAcentral.